GUCCACGCUGUAAACGAUGAGUGCUAGACGUUGGGGUUCCCGUUCCAGUGUCGCAGCUAACGCAUUAAGCACUCCGCCUGGGGAGGUACGGUCGCAAGAUUAAACUACAAGGAAUUGACGGGGCCCGGCACAAGCGGUGGAGCAUGUGGUUUAAUUCGAAGCAACGCGCAGAACCUUACCAGCUCUUGACAUGGGGAUUAUGGAGAGGAGAGAUUCUUUCCUUCAGUUCGGCUGGAUCCCCGCACAGGUGCUGCAUGGCUGUCGU
RNAcentral lists this ribosomal RNA (265 nucleotides) under uncultured bacterium. RNAcentral describes it as "partial 16S ribosomal RNA". It matches the Rfam family "Bacterial small subunit ribosomal RNA", at positions 793 to 1055 of the family's 1533-position model. The record is from RNAcentral.